AGGACAAACGCUGGCGGGGUGCAUGAGACAUGCAAGUCGAACGAGGUGCCAUCGGGCUUGCUCGAUGGUUGCCGAGUGGCGAACGGCUGAGUAACGCGUAGGUGACCUGCCCGGAAGUGGGGAAUAACUGCCCGAAAGGGUGGCUAAUACCGCAUGUGGUCGGCGAUUCGCUUCGUCGUCCAAAGGAGUAAUCCGCUUCCGGAGGGGCCUGCGUCCGAUUAGCUAGUUGGUGGGGUAACGGCCUACCAAGGCGACGACGGGUAGCUGGUCUGAGAGGACGACCAGCCACACUGGAACUGAGAUACGGUCCAGACUCCUACGGGAGGCAGCAGUGGGGAAUAUUGCACAAUGGGCGAAAGCCUGAUGCAGAGACGCCGCGUGAGGGAUGAAGGCCUUCGGGUCGUAAACCUCUUUCGGCAGGGACGAAGCGAUCAGUGACGGUACCUGCAGAAGAAGCCCCGGCUAACUACGUGCCAGCAGCCGC
This 484-nucleotide ribosomal RNA is filed under the name uncultured bacterium. RNAcentral's name for it is "SSU rRNA". It matches the Rfam family "Bacterial small subunit ribosomal RNA", at positions 26 to 518 of the family's 1533-position model. The record is from RNAcentral.